This is a long non-coding RNA of Camarhynchus parvulus, 842 nucleotides long. RefSeq lists it as uncharacterized. The transcript is spliced from 4 exons. The record is from RefSeq and is a predicted model, not a curated record. Lineage: Eukaryota; Metazoa; Chordata; Aves; Passeriformes; Thraupidae.
CCCGGGACCCCACGGGCCCCGCCGCUCCCUCAGCGCCGCCGCCCGCCCCGCGGGGCGCCCCCUGGCGGACACGGCGCCGCCCCUCAGCCCUGCGGGAACACCGAGCUCCCCUCACGGCCCGGCAGCACCGCGGGCACCGCGCUCCUCUGUACCGGGACACCGCACUCCCUUGUGAGAGCCACAGCGUCCGCAUCCCCGGGGGAUCCCCGCCAAACGACCGGGGCUGUAGCGCUGGGGCCGCUGCUCCCGCUCCGGCAGUGCCCGGUGUGGGCCUGGACGAGGCCAGAAGCCCCCACAAGGGCUGGCAGCCCUCACGUCCUUGGCAUCUGCAGGGAGGAGCUGUGCAGGCAGCUGAGUGCCAAACACACGUCCUGGCACGGGCACCGGGGUACCGGGACAGUGCUGGCAUAGACACGGCUAAAGGGCUGCCUAUGUCCCUUCAGCCCGGACAGACGCCACCGACAGCACAGAAGGACCCCAAGGAGCAGCUAGCGUUACCUGGAAUGGAGGCACGGGCCGUUUGCAGAGGGCCUCAGACAGCAGGUCCCGUUUCUGACCUCCCAGAGCUCCCACACAGCACCAGAUAUUGAAUCCCAAGCAAUAUACCUUGGAGGUGCCGUAAAAUCAGAGGUUCGAGUGGGAUGAAGUUUGGAACUUUCCAGGGAGCCAGCUGGAAGUGCAGAAGUGAAGGAAAACUUUUGCAGUGAGAAGAACAUGAACUCACAGCCACCGAGGCCUGACAGGUUCCUGCAGUGAGAGCUCAGCGCACAUCCACAGGGGAGUUUUCCUCCUGAGAAGCUGAGAGGCCCCAGGAACAAAACAUAACCAUUGAUUAUCUGCUG